GAUGAACGCUGGCGGCGUGCCUAAUACAUGCAAGUAGAACGCUGAAGGAGGAGCUUGCUCUUCUGGAUGAGUUGCGAACGGGUGAGUAACGCGUAGGUAACCUGCCUGGUAGCGGGGGAUAACUAUUGGAAACGAUAGCUAAUACCGCAUGACAACAGUUAUUGCAUGAUAACUGUUUAAAAGGGGCAACUGCUCCACUACCAGAUGGACCUGCGUUGUAUUAGCUAGUUGGUGAGGUAACGGCUCACCAAGGCGACGAUACAUAGCCGACCUGAGAGGGUGAGCGGCCACACAGGGAGUGAGACACGGCCCCGACUCCCACGGGAGGGAGAAGAGGGGAAACUUCUGCAAAGGAGGGAAAUCUGACCGAGCAAAACCGCGUGAGUGAAGAAGGGGUUCGGAGCGUAAAGAGCUGUUUUAUGAGAAGAACGAGAGUGAGAGUGGAAAGUGCACACUGUGACGGUAUCUUACCAGAAAGGGACGGCUAACUACGUG
RNAcentral lists this ribosomal RNA (495 nucleotides) under uncultured bacterium. RNAcentral describes it as "partial 16S ribosomal RNA". It matches the Rfam family "Bacterial small subunit ribosomal RNA", at positions 28 to 507 of the family's 1533-position model. The record is from RNAcentral.